AUUGAACGCUGGCGGAAUGCUUUACACAUGCAAGUCGAACGGUAGAGGGGGGCAACCCCCUUGAGAGUGGCGAACGGGUGAGUAAUAUAUCGGAACGUGCCCAGUCGUGGGGAUAACGUAGCGAAAGUUACGCUAAUACCGCAUACGAUCUAAGGAUGAAAGCGGGGGGAUCGCAAGACCUCGCGCGAUUGGAGCGGCCGAUAUCAGAUUAGGUAGUUGGUGAGGUAAAGGCUCACCAAGCCAACGAUCUGUAGCUGGUCUGAGAGGACGACCAGCCACACUGGAACUGAGACACGGUCCAGACUCCUACGGGAGGCAGCAGUGGGGAAUUUUGGACAAUGGACGCAAGUCUGAUCCAGCCAUUCCGCGUGCAGGAUGAAGGCCCUCGGGUUGUAAACUGCUUUUGUACGGAACGAAAGGUUUGUCGUUAAUACGUAUGAGCUCAUGACGGUACCGUAAG
RNAcentral lists this ribosomal RNA (460 nucleotides) under uncultured bacterium. RNAcentral's name for it is "bacterial SSU rRNA". It matches the Rfam family "Bacterial small subunit ribosomal RNA", at positions 30 to 484 of the family's 1533-position model. The record is from RNAcentral.